Molecule: ribosomal RNA, 905 nt
Filed under: Amanita umbrinolutea
Lineage: Eukaryota; Fungi; Basidiomycota; Agaricomycetes; Agaricales; Amanitaceae
Description: eukaryotic LSU rRNA
Rfam family: Eukaryotic large subunit ribosomal RNA
Source: RNAcentral
CUAACAAGGAUUCCCCUAGUAACUGCGAGUGAAGCGGGAAAAGCUCAAAUUUGAAAUCUGGCAGUCUAUUUUUUCUUCUUUGGCUGUCCGAAUUGUAAUCUAGAGAAGUGCUUACCUGCACUGGACCAUGUAUAAGUCUCCUGGAAUGGAGCGUCGCAGAGGGUGAGAAUCCCGUCUUUGACAUGGACUGCCAGUGUGUUGUGGUGUGCUCUCAAAGAGUCGAGUUGUUUGGGAAUGCAGCUCUAAAUGGGUGGUAAACUCCAUCUAAAGCUAAAUAUUGGCGAGAGACCGAUAGCGAACAAGUACCGUGAGGGAAAGAUGAAAAGGACUUUGGAAAGAGAGUUAAACAGUAUGUGAAAUUGUUGAAAGGGAAACGCUUGAAGUCAGUUGUGUCGGUUAGGGAUCAACCUAGCUUUUUUUGCUGGGUGAAUUUCCUAGUCUGACAGGCCAACAUCAGUCUUGACUGCUGGAAAAGAGCAGGGGGAAUGUGGCACCUUUGGGUGUGUUAUAGCCUUUUGUCAUAUGUGGCAGUUGGGACUGAGGGAUGCAGCGUGCCGCGAGGCUGGGUUUCGACCACGUUCACGCUUAGGAUGUUGGCUUUUAAUGGCUUCAAUCGACCCGUCUUGAAACACGGACCAAGGAGUCUAACAUGCCUGCGAGUGUUUGGGUGGAAAACCCUUGCGCGCAAUGAAAGUGAAAGUUGAGAUCCCUGUCAUGGGGAGCAUCGACGCCCGGACUUGAGCUUUUAGCGACGGAUCCGCGGUAGAGCAUGCAUGUUGGGACCCGAAAGAUGGUGAACUAUGCCUGAAUAGGGCAAAGCCAGAGGAAACUCUGGUGGAGGCUCGUAGCGAUUCUGACGUGCAAAUCGAUCGUCAAAUUUGGGUAUAGGGGCGAAAGACUAAUCG